Molecule: ribosomal RNA, 253 nt
Filed under: uncultured bacterium
Lineage: Bacteria
Description: partial 16S ribosomal RNA
Rfam family: Bacterial small subunit ribosomal RNA
Source: RNAcentral
UACAGAGGAAGCGAGCGUAAAUCGGAAUUACUGGGCGUAAAGCGCACGUAGGUGGCGUCGUAAGUCGGGUGUGAAAGACCCGGGCUCAACCUGGGAAUUGCAUUCGAGACUGCAUUGCUGGAGUACGGAAGAGGAGGGCGGAAUUCCCGGUGUAGCGGUGAAAUGCGUAGAUAUCGGGAGGAACAUCAGUGGCGAAGGCGGCCCUCUGGUCCAGUACUGACACUCAAGUGCGAAAGCGUGGGGAGCAAACAGG